UAUUGGGCAAUGGGCGCAAGCCUGACCCAGCAACGCCGCGUGAAGGAAGAAGGCUUUCGGGUUGUAAACUUCUUUUAAGGGGGAAGAGCAGAAGACGGUACCCCUUGAAUAAGCCACGGCUAACUACGUGCCAGCAGCCGCGGUAAUACGUAGGUGGCAAGCGUUGUCCGGAUUUACUGGGUGUAAAGGGCGUGCAGCCGGAGAGGCAAGUCAGAUGUGAAAUCCGCGGGCUCAACCCGCGAACUGCAUUUGAAACUGCUUCCCUUGAGUAUCGGAGAGGUAACCGGAAUUCCUAGUGUAGCGGUGAAAUGCGUAGAUAUUAGGAAGAACACCAGUGGCGAAGGCGGGUUACUGGACGACAACUGACGGUGAGGCGCGAAAGCGUGGGGAGCAAACAGG
RNAcentral lists this ribosomal RNA (399 nucleotides) under uncultured bacterium. RNAcentral's name for it is "bacterial SSU rRNA". It matches the Rfam family "Bacterial small subunit ribosomal RNA", at positions 362 to 776 of the family's 1533-position model. The record is from RNAcentral.